CUUGACCUACGCUUUUCAAUACAAUCCUUUCGUUAACUACUUCAUACAUACAACAUACAAACUUUCAUACAGAAACAUCAAAUUCGGAAAAUCAUCGGGGGGGGGGGGGUUCUGAUGUGGAAAGGGUGUCUAUGCCGAGUCUCUUGUUUUCCCUUGAAAUUACUAAUAAAAAAUGUGAAGUUUCGCCGUUAUUCUCUUCUUCCAUUUUGCCUUUAUUCAUGUAUGCCUGUAACCCAACAUUCUUCGCACAAUUUAACCCGAUUUUUUCCGGCUGGCCGCGGAUCAUUUUUGUCUCUGUGUAGUAAUUUUAUCUUUCCUCCUUGCGUAACAAUGUGCAGUGCUAUAUUCAUUUUGGAGUCGUUCCCAUCUACUUUGUUACGUUCAACGCGGUCGAGAUAAAGUGUUCCCAAUUCGUUCUGUUAACUAUGAGGCCUUCCUCGGUGGCCUGAAAAUGUUUUAUCGCAUAGUAACUCAUCACUUGUGCAAACUCGCAUUCUUACUGUUGAUCAUCGCUUUAUUUUUCGUCUACUUUUUCGUGGAUCGCCAGCAGUUGACUUCUUUUAAAAGUUACUGGCUCGAUGGAAUUGAUACGAAUACGGAAGAGCCCCGGGUCCCAGUCUGUUACAAACUGCCCCAAGACGAUGAAAGACCGCUGAAUUCGACUGUGAACUAUGUCGCUGCGGCCGAUGAAAUCUCGCUGAACAACGCCGUCCUAAACAUCAACAUCAGCUCAGAAAAUGGGAAACAGGUGAUCGAUGAGUUACUGGAGGAAUUCAAGGACCAAUACGACUUAGAGGGGCGAACCGAUGGACCCAAAGUGGUCACUCGCUUAUUUAAAAGGAUCUGCAACGAAACAGAGAUUCGAAGAAUGACCCCCGAGAAAUGCAUGAAUUUCACGGUAUAUCCUGCCCCGGAACUUCCACCCCAGCGGGAGAACAUGUCACGGAGCUCAGAUGAAAAUGCCGACCAAGCGGACAAGGAGGUCCUCGGAAAGGAGAGUCACAGAUAUUAGACAUUUGAAUUCUCUCAGCAAGAACAAACCCGUUGACCUCGGAUCCAAAUUGGCCUUUGAAAUUUUCGCUGCUGAGUUUUGCCCCGUUGUCUACUCUAUAUUAAAGGGUCGGGCGUAAAGGAGCUGACGCACCGAGAAGAAACCAUAAUUCAAAUGGGUCAGUUGCGCUGGUCAUUGAAUCGUGUUUUGAUGCUUGAUUCUUGUAGAUCAGCUAAGAAUAAUAAAAUCUGUCCAAACAGCAACUCUCUACGUUCAAUAUUAUGCCGUGCUAAGAAAAACGCCGUAUGAGCCCUCAGGUGUUGCCAAAUUUCCUUCGAUAAAAUACGAAGUUUAGAGGAAACUACUGGAUAUUUUUCGUCACAUUUUUCAGACAAUUUUGUAAAGAAUUCAAUCUAAAAUAUCUUAAAAUUUCAGGGAAAAAUAUGCAUCACUUCCCUUAAAAAUACAUGUUUAUUCCGGAGAAAUUUGGCAACUCUCGAAUGUUCUUACGGCGUUUUUCCUUAGCACGACAGUAUUAACCGAGAUAUCGCCGUUUGAAAAGUCGGGUUUUUGACGUCAUCCACCGCGGUAGUGACACUCUUGAUUUCUUCCACCUUGCUUUCAUCCGAGUUUCACGUUGAACAACCAGUGCUAAUGUGUGUAACACCGACUGAACUCGAAGUUUGUAGGCGCUAAUAUGUGUUUCACGUCAACUGACCGACUGCCCUGCUUUUGGCGCAAUGCGAGAAGUACUCAUGCGGUCUUGUAGGCGCUAUGCGGUUCACGCCGAUCGCACUGUUUGGCGCAAUGCGUGAAGUAUUCCCACAGUCUCGCAGGCGCUAAUAUCAUCAUCCGAGUUUCACGUUGAAUAACCAGUGAAAAUGUGCGUCACUAAUGAAAACAAGGUGGAAGAGACCAAGGGUGUCACCACCGCGGUGGAUGACGUCAAAAUCCCAACUUUUCAAAGGGCGAUAUUGAACGUAGAAAGUUGCCGUUUGAACAUUUCGUGUUAUUUUUAGCUGAUCUGUUAGAAUCAAGCAUUAAAACACAAUUCCAUGACCAGCGCAACUGAUCAUUUACCAAAUGAGUGGUUUUCAAUUUUAUUAACUUUAAAUGGAUCACAGAAUCGUGUUUUGAUGUUUGAUUGUUGUGGCUCAGCUAAAAAUAAUUAUAAUUCAUUCUUUGUAUAUUUACCGAGAUACCGUGCUUUGGGAAAUUCUUUAAUCCGCGGUAUUAACACCCCUGGUUUCUCCCACCUUGCCCUCAUCCGAGUUUCACGUUGCAAACGUGUACCUCACUGAUUGAUGACACUAAGGUGAGGAAACGAAGGGUGUCAUUGUCGCGGAUGAUGACGUCAUAAACGUCAUCAAAUUUUUUUUUCAUGGCGCUAUAUCUCGGUUAAUAUUGAACAUAGAGAGUUGCUGUUUGGACGUAUCUCUCUAUAUUCAGCUGUUCUACGAGAUUAAAGCACUAAAACACGAUUUUUUGACCAGCUCAACUGACCUAUCGAUGGUGGCUAUUUCGAACAUUCGUGGUUUUUUACUAUUAUCGGUAAUAAUUUAACAAUUUCGUUGGUACUUUUAUUACAUCGUCGUCCGGAAGAACAUGGUUUUUGGACAGAUCUUAUUACUAUUUUCCUCGAUCUGUACGAUUUUAGGAUUCCAUCAGAAAUGCAACUAAAGCAUGAGUAAAAGUAUCACCUGCAAAUCAGAUCUCUGUGAAGAAAACAGAUGAUUUUGUGACAUGAGGUCAGUCACUAUAUUGCUCUAUCUGUUAUAAUUUUGAAGAGAAACCUUUUCAUUAGGAUAUUCCCGUUAAUGUAAAAUAUAAUUUAACAUUUUACGAUUCAAUUUUUACCAUUCAAAUGUAAGUCGUGCAAUACAUCACACCUGCACCUACAACUUAUACAAUUCGGAGGGCUUUCAAAGUUGCCGCACAAAUUGUAGCAGCUAUAAUUGAAGGCGUUUUGAAAGUUGCUUGCUUCCUCACUCCGAGGUUGGGUAAGUAUCUCAAGCACCAGCCUAAAGGAUGCAGUAAGUGGAGAGAUUAUGGUCUACAUUAUUAGAGAAAAAUGUCUUCCAAAACAUGAUUUACAUUUAAUUUCUACGCUGUAAAAUUAUAGAUAAUUGUUAUUUAAUUUCGUACUCCGGUCGGCCUUGUUCUUUCUCACUACCUAGGAAGAAAUCUUUUCAUACAUCAUCUACUUCCUACCUGCUGUCUAGCGUCAUUGAUUCAUCCCAAUUAAAGAUAAGGCUAAAAGUGAAUUUUCUGUGACAAAUGUAAACACUUGAUUUUUUGAUCGUUAUGUCUGUGUAUUUUUUUGUAAUUUAUUAUAAAUAAAUUGUUGACGAUAAUCGCUAUAGUGAGAGUUCGUUCUCCACUGACUUUUAACAUAAAGAAUCGUUGGAAAAAACUUUGAUUGUAUAUUAUCGCCCCUCAAAAAUUCAAAAUUAAGAUA
This 3449-nucleotide long non-coding RNA is filed under the name Bemisia tabaci. RNAcentral describes it as "lncRNA ENSSSA3NGG008566". The record is from RNAcentral. Lineage: Eukaryota; Metazoa; Arthropoda; Insecta; Hemiptera; Aleyrodidae.